RNAcentral lists this ribosomal RNA (277 nucleotides) under uncultured prokaryote. Its description in RNAcentral is "partial 16S ribosomal RNA". It matches the Rfam family "Bacterial small subunit ribosomal RNA", at positions 524 to 801 of the family's 1533-position model. The record is from RNAcentral.
CACGGGGUUGCGAGCGUUGUCCGGAAUUACUAGGCGUAAAGGGCAGGCAGGCGGAUCCAUAAGUUUAUCGUUUAAGGCGUCGGCUUAACCGGCGUAGGGCGGUAGAUACUGUGGAUCUGGAAUGCGGUUGGGGAAGACGGAAUUCCUGGUGUAGCGGUGGAAUGCGCAGAGAUCAGGAGGAAUACCGAAGGCGAAGGCAGUCUUCCAAGCCGUUAUUGACGCUCAACUGCGAAGGUGUGGGUAUCAAACAGGAUUAGAUACCCUGGUAGUCCCUGAG